RNAcentral lists this ribosomal RNA (1434 nucleotides) under Peptostreptococcaceae bacterium canine oral taxon 332. RNAcentral's name for it is "bacterial SSU rRNA". It matches the Rfam family "Bacterial small subunit ribosomal RNA". Lineage: Bacteria; Bacillati; Bacillota; Clostridia; Peptostreptococcales; Peptostreptococcaceae. The record is from RNAcentral.
GAGUUUGAUUCUGGCUCAGGACGAACGCUGGCGGCGUGCAUAACACAUGCAAGUUGAACGAGAAUUUGGCUGCGGAUCUUUUCGGAGGGAAGCGGACGAAGGAAAGUAGCGAACGGGUGAGUAACGCGUAAGGAACCUGCCUCUCACAGGGGGAUAGCAGCUGGAAACGGCUAUUAAUACCCCAUGGUACCGGAGCAUCGCAUGAUGAACCGGUGAAAGAGAUAUCGGUGAGAGAUGGCCUUGCGUCUGAUUAGCUGGUUGGUGAGGUAACGGCUCACCAAGGCGACGAUCAGUAGCCGGCCUGAGAGGGUGAACGGCCACAUUGGGACUGAGACACGGCCCAAACUCCUACGGGAGGCAGCAGUGGGGAAUUUUGCACAAUGGGGGAAACCCUGACCCAGCGACGCCGCGUGAAGGAAGAAGGUCUUCGGAUUGUAAAGUUCUGUCCUGGGUGAAGAAAAAGACGGUAAUCCAGGAGGAAGCCCCGGCUAACUACGUGCCAGCAGCCGCGGUAAUACGUAGGGGGCGAGCGUUGUCCGGAAUUAUUGGGCGUAAAGGGUGCGUAGGCGGUUUUUUAAGUUUGUCGUGAAAGCCCGGGGCUUAACCCCGGUAAGCGAUGAAAACUGGAAGACUUGAGUGAUGGAGAGGAACGUGGAAUUCCUGGUGUAGCGGUGAAAUGCGUAGAGAUCAGGAGGAAUACCAGUGGCGAAGGCGACGUUCUGGACAUUAACUGACGCUGAGGCACGAAAGCGUGGGGAGCAAACAGGAUUAGAUACCCUGGUAGUCCACGCCGUAAACGAUGAGUGCUAGGUGCUGGGUGUCAAAGCUCGGUGCCGCCGUUAACACAGUAAGCACUCCGCCUGGGGAGUACGCACGCAAGUGUGAAACUCAAAGGAAUUGACGGGGACCCGCACAAGCAGCGGAGCAUGUGGUUUAAUUCGAAGCAACGCGAAGAACCUUACCAGGGCUUGACAUGACAGUGAAGGGUCUAGAGAUAGACCGUUCUCUUCGGAGACACUGCCACAGGUGGUGCAUGGUUGUCGUCAGCUCGUGUCGUGAGAUGUUGGGUUAAGUCCCGCAACGAGCGCAACCCCUAUCAUUAGUUGCCAGCAUUGAGUUGGGGACUCUAAUGAGACUGCCGGUGAUAAACCGGAGGAAGGUGGGGAUGACGUCAAAUCAUCAUGCCCUUUAUGUCCUGGGCUACACACGUGCUACAAUGGUCGGAAACAAAGUGCAGCAAGCCAGUGAUGGCAAGCGAAUCACAGAAAGCCGAUCUCAGUUCGGAUUGUAGGCUGCAACUCGCCUACAUGAAGUCGGAGUUGCUAGUAAUCGCGAAUCAGCAUGUCGCGGUGAAUGCGUUCCCGGGUCUUGUACACACCGCCCGUCACACCAUGGGAGUUGGCAAUACCCGAAGCCGUUGAGCGAACCGUAAGG